UUUACUCAUACGUAUCGGAUUAUUGGGCGUAAGAGCUCGUAGGCGGUUUGUCGCGUCUGCUGUGAAAGACCGGGGCUCAACUCCGGUUCUGCAGUGGGUACGGGCAGACUAGAGUGCAGUAGGGGAGACUGGAAUUCCUGGUGUAGCGGUGAAAUGCGCAGAUAUCAGGAGGAACACCGAUGGCGAAGGCAGGUCUCUGGGCUGUAACUGACGCUGAGGAGCGAAAGCAUGGGGAGCGAACAGGAUUAGAUACCCUGGUAGUCCAUGCCGUAAACGUUGGGCACUAGGUGUGGGGGACAUUCCACGUUUUCCGCGCCGUAGCUAACGCAUUAAGUGCCCCGCCUGGGGAGUACGGCCGCAAGGCUAAAACUCAAAGGAAUUGACGGGGGCCCGCACAAGCGGCGGAGCAUGCGGAUUAAUUCGAUGCAACGCGAAGAACCUUACCAAGGCUUGACAUGAACCGGUAAUACCUGGAAACAGGUGCCCCGCUUGCGGUCGGUUUACAGGUGGUGCAUGGUUGUCGUCAGCUCGUGUCGUGAGAUGUUGGGUUAAGUCCCGCAACGAGCGCAACCCUCGUUCUAUGUUGCCAGCGCGUUAUGGCGGGGACUCAUAGGAGACUGCCGGGGUCAACUCGGAGGAAGGUGGGGACGACGUCAAAUCAUCAUGCCCCUUAUGUCUUGGGCUUCACGCAUGCUACAAUGGCCGGUACAAAGGGUUGCGAUACUGUGAGGUGGAGCUAAUCCCAAAAAGCCGGUCUCAGUUCGGAUUGGGGUCUGCAACUCGACCCCAUGAAGUCGGAGUCGCUAGUAAUCGCAGAUCAGCAACGCUGCGGUGAAUACGUUCCCGGGCCUUGUACACACCGCCCGUCAAGUCACGAAAGUUGGUAACACCCGAAGCCGGUGGCCUAACUCUUGUGGGGGGAGCCGUCGAAGUGGGACCGGCGAUUGGGACUAAGUCGUACCAAAGGUAACCCU
RNAcentral lists this ribosomal RNA (974 nucleotides) under Arthrobacter sp. RNAcentral describes it as "bacterial SSU rRNA". It matches the Rfam family "Bacterial small subunit ribosomal RNA". Lineage: Bacteria; Bacillati; Actinomycetota; Actinomycetes; Micrococcales; Micrococcaceae. The record is from RNAcentral.